This 482-nucleotide ribosomal RNA is filed under the name uncultured bacterium. Its description in RNAcentral is "bacterial SSU rRNA". It matches the Rfam family "Bacterial small subunit ribosomal RNA", at positions 30 to 507 of the family's 1533-position model. The record is from RNAcentral.
AUUGAACGCUGGCGGCAUGCCUUACACAUGCAAGUCGAACGGCAGCGGGCCUUCGGGUGCCGGCGAGUGGCGAACGGGUGAGUAAUGCAUCGGAACGUGCCAUUGAGUGGGGGAUAACGUAGCGAAAGUUGCGCUAAUACCGCAUAUUCUGUGAGCAGGAAAGCAGGGGACCGCAAGGCCUUGCGCUCUUUGAGCGGCCGAUGUCAGAUUAGCUAGUUGGUGAGGUAAAGGCUUACCAAGGCGACGAUCUGUAGCGGGUCUGAGAGGAUGAUCCGCCACACUGGAACUGAGACACGGUCCAGACUCCUACGGGAGGCAGCAGUGGGGAAUUUUGGACAAUGGGCGCAAGCCUGAUCCAGCCAUGCCGCGUGAGUGAAGAAGGCCUUCGGGUUGUAAAGCUCUUUCGGCCGGGAAGAAAUCGCACAGGUUAAUACCCUGUGUGGAUGACGGUACCGGAAUAAGAAGCACCGGCUAACUACGUG